This 615-nucleotide long non-coding RNA is filed under the name Bos indicus x Bos taurus (hybrid cattle). RNAcentral's name for it is "lncRNA (ENSBIXG00000021488.1)". Lineage: Eukaryota; Metazoa; Chordata; Mammalia; Artiodactyla; Bovidae. The record is from RNAcentral.
GGUUUGCCAUGCUGGCGCCACAUUUUCAUCUCUCUGUAUAUUUUCAUGGGUAGUUUAAUAAGACAUUGAGAAGUAUCUGUUAGGUAUUGCUAAGUUGCUGCCAUGCUAACCUGAAAGUUUUUCUACUUUAUUUGAUUUUGUUUUUUAUUAAGACAGAUCAACUGAGCAGAAUAACUGAAUCUCAGGCUGAAUAGGAUCAUAAUGAGCCUCUAAGGAUUGAUCUUGAACAUUCAGUCUCUUUGAUUGUUGGAGACAGAAAGGAAAUUGGACACCAUCUACUCCAAACCCAUCACUUUAUCUUAGGAAUUUGAAGGUCCAACAGAAUCAAUGACUUGCCUGAGGACACAGCUCACUAGAAAUAGAGAGCUGAGCAGGAAAAGAUGGGAAGUAUUCCAGAAUUGUGGAAUGACUAUACAGGCAGAAGCCAGGCGAAAAAACAGAAGAUUCUCCAAAACUUGGCAUUAAAUUGAUUCUACAAGCACAGGGACACAAGGAACAAGAGACUAACUUUGUACUUAGCUUGAUGUUUCCUUUGUUAUUCAAUUGCGAAGUCGUGACCAGCUCUUUGCGAUUCGUGGACUGCAGCGUGCCAGGCUCCUCUGUCCUCCACUGUCU